Molecule: ribosomal RNA, 253 nt
Filed under: uncultured bacterium
Lineage: Bacteria
Description: partial 16S ribosomal RNA
Rfam family: Archaeal small subunit ribosomal RNA
Source: RNAcentral
UACCAGCGCCCCGAGUGGUCGGGACGUUUAUUGGGCCUAAAGCAUCCGUAGCCGGUUCUACAAGUCUUCCGUUAAAUCCACCUGCUUAACAGAUGGGCUGCGGAAGAUACUAUAGAGCUAGGAGGCGGGAGAGGCAAGCGGUACUCGAUGGGUAGGGGUAAAAUCCGUUGAUCCAUUGAAGACCACCAGUGGCGAAGGCGGCUUGCCAGAAUGCGCUCGACGGUGAGGGAUGAAAGCUGGGGGAGCAAACCGG